This 62-nucleotide transfer RNA is filed under the name Macrocheles glaber. Its description in RNAcentral is "tRNA-Glu". Lineage: Eukaryota; Metazoa; Arthropoda; Arachnida; Mesostigmata; Macrochelidae. The record is from RNAcentral.
GUUUUUAUAGUAUAUAUAAUUAUAUAGCUUUUUCAUGGCUAAGAAGAGGAUUUCUAAAAAUA